UACGGAGGGUGCGAGCGUUGUCCGGAAUCACUGGGCGUAAAGGGCGCGUAGGUGGCCUGCUAAGUCGGACGUGAAAUCCCUCGGCUCAACCGGGGAACUGCGUCCGAUACUGGUGGGCUCGAGUGCAGGAGAGGAACGCGGAAUUCCAGGUGUAGCGGUGAAAUGCGUAGAUAUCUGGAGGAACACCGGUGGCGAAGGCGGCGUUCUGGACUGCAACUGACACUGAGGAACGAAAGCCAGGGGAGCAAACGGG
Molecule: ribosomal RNA, 253 nt
Filed under: uncultured bacterium
Lineage: Bacteria
Description: partial 16S ribosomal RNA
Rfam family: Bacterial small subunit ribosomal RNA
Source: RNAcentral